AUCCAGCCGACGAGUCCCAAAUAGAACGAAAUGCGCAUCCUGAAU
This 45-nucleotide non-coding RNA is filed under the name Trichobilharzia regenti. Lineage: Eukaryota; Metazoa; Platyhelminthes; Trematoda; Strigeidida; Schistosomatidae. The record is from RNAcentral.